This 262-nucleotide ribosomal RNA is filed under the name uncultured bacterium. Its description in RNAcentral is "partial 16S ribosomal RNA". It matches the Rfam family "Bacterial small subunit ribosomal RNA", at positions 793 to 1055 of the family's 1533-position model. The record is from RNAcentral.
GUCCUGGCCCUAAACGAUGAGUGCUUGGUGUGGCGGGUAUCGAUCCCUGCCGUGCCGAAGCUAACGCAUUAAGCACUCCGCCUGGGGAGUACGGUCGCAAGGCUGAAACUCAAAGAAUUGACGGGGGCCCCGCACAAGCGGUGGAGCAUGUGGUUUAAUUCGACGCAACGCGAAGAACCUUACCCAGGCUCGAAAUGCAGGUGAUCGACGGUGAAAGCCGUUUUCCGCAAGGACACCUGUAUAGGUGCUGCAUGGCUGUCGU